Molecule: long non-coding RNA, 855 nt
Filed under: Rattus norvegicus (Norway rat)
Lineage: Eukaryota; Metazoa; Chordata; Mammalia; Rodentia; Muridae
Description: long non-coding RNA NONRATT005365
Source: RNAcentral
UAGAGAUAUGGUCUUACCAGGAAGAGAUCUGCCUAGCCCUGACUGUUGAAUGCUGAGAUUGUAAUCCUGGGCCACCAUGUCCAGAUAGAGUACACCUUUAGGGGGCUAGAGAGAUGGCUCCUUGGCAGAUUUUCAAGCUCUGUGUAGUCCUGGCUGUCCUGGAACUCGCUCUGUAGAUCAAGGUGGCCUCGAACUCACAAAGAUAGGGUCUCCCGAUGUCCCUUGGCAGGCCUGGAGCUCACUAUUCACUAUGUACAACCCAGCUUUUGCCAGAACCAGUCGCCGACUGUGUGGACUUCACAGUUUCAAGAAUGACCUUGAAGUAAAGGGAAGGUGGAUAGAUAAACCAUCCAAAGUCCCGUGGGGCACCUCAGCAGAGAUCCGGAGCCCAGUAGCCGUUCUGUCACAUUUAGCUUGGAAUUUCUUUUUUUUUUCUCCUGGUGAUAAUUUAUUAUCUGUUAGUAGCACACAGGCCAAACAUUAAUCAUUCAAAACAAUCUCUAUAGAAGUGGGGAAUGAUACGGGCCACUCUGAGAGACUGACUGUGUGCAUUUAAUGGUCAUUACUCUUUAGGUUUUUAAUCUUCUUCUUAUGCCGUUUGAUUUGUUUCUGCAGAUGCUCUAUCUCCUUUGAAUGGCGGUCAAUCUCAUCUUCAUGGUGCUUCUUCAAGGGCAGCCAGCUGCUCUCUCGUCUUCCCUCGGAAGUACCGAUCCUCUUCAGCCUUCUCUCGUUUCCUGAAGGCCCCACCAGCUUCUCGAAUGGAGCCAGCGCCCCUGUAUCCGUGCUCUCCGACAAGUCUGAGACGAAGCCUCGGGUUUGCAGGAACCCUCAUACCCCAGACACCGAGCCGAGCCC